Molecule: non-coding RNA, 52 nt
Filed under: Plasmodium falciparum 3D7
Lineage: Eukaryota; Apicomplexa; Aconoidasida; Haemosporida; Plasmodiidae
Source: RNAcentral
AUCCCUAUAAUCUCCUAAAGUAUAAAACAUCUGACGCAAGAAAUCUGGUGGG